This is a long non-coding RNA of Fukomys damarensis (Damara mole-rat), 1082 nucleotides long. RefSeq lists it as uncharacterized. NCBI's taxonomy places the organism in Eukaryota, Metazoa, Chordata, Mammalia, Rodentia, Bathyergidae. The transcript is spliced from 4 exons. The record is from RefSeq and is a predicted model, not a curated record.
GCCACCAUGUAUCUCAGUGAGACUGAGAUGGCCUUGGAUGGAUGGAUAUGAAGUCAGAGGACCCAGGAGUACACAUGUCUUUCCCAGCCUCAACCCCUCACCGAAGAGCUGAAGCAAAGGCAGAAGGAAGCUUGCUGCUAGCUGGGGUUUUGACUCCUGACCUAGGAGGUGCUGCUGGGCCACUGGUCAGGUCUCAGAGCCUUGGACCGAAGACCUCUUCCUCCUAAAGCCACACCCCAGCCCCAGCAAGUUCCUAGAAUCUCUGUGGAGAACCAGGAAGCAGAUGACAUAAGCCACAGCGGUGGGAGUGCUGACUAUGGAUUGAAACCACUACAAACUGGUGAAGGAUUUGAGCCACCAGGCCGAGGGAUCCACACUGGAGCCAGGAAGUGACUUUCACAGUGAAGAUCGGAGCUCCCUGAUAGAACAGCAGCCAAUCCCAGUGACAGCAAGGCCCUGAGCUCCUCCUCCCAUGAGAACAGGAAAGUUUGAUCAGGAAACAAACCUCAGCAAGCUUCUCAACAGCCCCAACCUUCCCUCCAGUUCUCUUUUUAUGCUGUUGGCAACAAUCCUCACGUGGGUCCCCCAUGCACAGACCACGGUGAUUCAGUUAGGCUGGACAUUCCAAGUUGUGCAUUACUUAAUCCACCACAAUUAGAAAAGGCCAGAGACCCAGCUGGCUCGCUUCCUUCCUGGUGACACAAGAAGAGACCCACUGUCUGUAGAAGACUCUCACCAGCACCUGUGCACGUGGUGCCCUCAUCUCCAAUUUCCAGCCCUAAGAAUUGGGAGAAAUGUUUGCUGCAUAAGCCACUCUCAGGCCUCAGUAUUCUUCUGUAGCUGCUGGAAGGAGAACAUUAUGAUUAUCCCCAUUGUACAAAAGGAACUGGGGACACACAGAAGUAAGAAAUUUGUUCAAAAAGAACCCAGAGACCAACAAAUCUAGAGUGAUUAUUUUGGGGAGGGGUAGCAAAAACAGGUGGAAGUGAAUCAAGGGUGCUAAUCAGAUGUUUAAGGUCAGAAUCCUUGUCUUCAGCAAUUCUUUUGAAAGAGACCAUUAGCCCGUUGCCCAAGUGACACAU